GGAGACGAGGGAUCGCCGGAAUUUCGAGUCGUGGAGAAAGAAUUUGCUCGCGGGUGGAGUGGCAGCGAUAGGUCCGGUAGCGGCAGCUGCUGUGGAUGUGAAUCAAAGAACAAAGAGACAUCUCCACGGCGGUGUUGCUGUCCAUUCUUUGAUCCCACGAAGAAGAUUGAUGGAAGCAAAUGAAUCGAGAAGAUCACACAUUGAUUGCUGCCCCAAUACUGGGUACUCUUCGCUUGUUCCAAGGGAAAAGCUAUCAACAACGACUUAAGCGUUUCCAUAUUCGUCCGUCAGUGGCACAGCUUGGCUUUGAUGCAGCCAUCUUAUCGCGACGUAACUGGGAGGAAUACUUCGUACCCCACGCAGCUGACGUUGAUUUUUGUCGCCGCGCGGGGUUAAAGGUUUGUGACUAUGGCCACACAGAGGACACGAUGCAGCUGCGCUGGUUAUUGCGAAAGAUGGCAAAUGCAGAUGCCUUGGGAGAUGGCGCAAAGAAUAACAAAAAAUGCAAGUUUUCCUUUCCCUUGAGCACAGAGCAUGGCUUGUUGGAAGAAAAUGCAGCCACAGCGGGCAGGUGAGAGUUCUUUUGUUUCAGGCGCGGGCGUACCUUCACGGAACUUUGUAUGCUUUUAAAAAGGAACGCUGUGACCGGAUCAAGGACUACAGAAGUGAAGUUUUCACGUGAUCCUGGACUGCCAGCUAUAGUAAACACGAAGAGUCAAAUGGACAGCAGCGUCCCAGGUACUUGAUAGCUAUGGAGGCGACAAAACGAACAAGUUAUUGCACCAGACAAUGCAAUAGAUUGCACUGCCGCAGUAGCAGAAUUUCAAUGUCAGAGCCGAAGUGACUCAAGCGAGCAUAAAAAGUAAAAUUUCCAGGUGUA
Selaginella moellendorffii is the source of this 880-nucleotide RNA transcript. RefSeq lists it as uncharacterized. NCBI's taxonomy places the organism in Eukaryota, Viridiplantae, Streptophyta, Lycopodiopsida, Selaginellales, Selaginellaceae. The transcript is spliced from 6 exons. The record is from RefSeq and is a predicted model, not a curated record.